Molecule: long non-coding RNA, 436 nt
Filed under: Nicotiana benthamiana
Lineage: Eukaryota; Viridiplantae; Streptophyta; Magnoliopsida; Solanales; Solanaceae
Description: long non-coding RNA (NBEN_LNC011541)
Source: RNAcentral
AUGGGAACCAGGCUAGAAAAUAUGAGCCGCAGGCAGGGCAAGAUAGAAAAGAGGCAAAGAAAAUUUAAGGAGCACGAGAAGAAGAAAAGUAAGAUGCUAUCAAAGAUGAUGCAGAAGUUUUGUGCACUUUGUGGCUCUCAGGACUCGGAUGAUGACAAUGGGUCAAAGAUGAUGCAGAAGAUGAGUACACUUUGUGGCUCCCAGGACUCGGAUGAUGAUAAUGAGAUGGACGCUGAGCUUAAAUUUCCCACCACAUCCAGUUCAGACUGAUGCAGUAUCCAGGGAGCACUUUCCACCAUUUUAUUCUGUCAUGUUUAAUUGCAUUGGGGACAAUGCAAUAUCUUUUUUUGGGGGUGGCUUCUUGUAUAACUGUGGUUAUGGCAUGGUUAUGGUGGAUUAGUAUAAUAUUAUUGUUGUUUUUAUUUUAUUUUGUGUG